Molecule: ribosomal RNA, 253 nt
Filed under: uncultured bacterium
Lineage: Bacteria
Description: partial 16S ribosomal RNA
Rfam family: Bacterial small subunit ribosomal RNA
Source: RNAcentral
UACAGAGGGUGCGAGCGUUAAUCGGAAUUACUGGGCGUAAAGCGUGCGUAGACGGUUAUUUAAGUCGGGUGUGAAAUCCCCGGGCUCAACCUGGGAACUGCAUCCGAAACUGCCUUGCUCGAGUAUGGGAGAGGGAAGUGGAAUUUCCGGUGUAGCGGUGAAAUGCGUAGAUAUCGAGAGGAACACCUGCGGCGAAGGCGGGUUGCUGGGCCGACACUGACGCUGAUGCGCGAAAGCCAGGGGAGCGAACGGG